This 253-nucleotide ribosomal RNA is filed under the name uncultured bacterium. RNAcentral describes it as "partial 16S ribosomal RNA". It matches the Rfam family "Bacterial small subunit ribosomal RNA", at positions 524 to 776 of the family's 1533-position model. The record is from RNAcentral.
UACGGAGGGUGCGAGCGUUGUCCGGAAUCACUGGGCGUAAAGGGCGCGUAGGCGGCCUGAUAGGUAGGAGGUGAAAUCCUGCGGCUUAACCGCAGGGCUGCCUUCUAAACUGUCAGGCUCGAGCACAGUAGAGGCAGGUGGAAUUCCCGGUGUAGCGGUGGAAUGCGUAGAGAUCGGGAAGAACAUCGGUGGCGAAGGCGGCCUGCUGGGCUGUUGCUGACGCUGAGGCGCGACAGCGUGGGGAGCAAACAGG